Molecule: long non-coding RNA, 876 nt
Filed under: Pan troglodytes (chimpanzee)
Lineage: Eukaryota; Metazoa; Chordata; Mammalia; Primates; Hominidae
Description: lncRNA (ENSPTRG00000054345.1)
Source: RNAcentral
GAAGCAGGAGAACGCUUGAACCUGGGAGGUGGAGAUUGCAGUGAGACAAGAUCACACCAUUGCACUCCAGCCUGGGCAACAAGAGCGAAACAUCGUCUCGAAAAAAAAAAAAACAAAAGAGAGAGAGAGAACCAGCUGUGAGGUGUGCUGUCAGUGGCCCAUUCCUGAGGGACCAAAGCCAUGACCUGCCCAGGUUGCCCUAGCCAAUGACUGAGCUCAGCACGGUAAAAGGCCAGUCAUUUCUCCUCUCUGGGCAAUCUUUGCUGCUGAACUUUCUACUUAUUCCUCUUUCUUUCCCCUUUCUUUUCACAGGAGUCAAACCUCUAUUGUAAACUGAAGGCCUUCUCUAUUCACUCCCCUUUUUGUUUUUGUUUCUCUUUAUCUUUCACAGGUCUUGCCUCCAAUAAAUCUCUUGCACUUCCAACUCCAUCUUGGCAUCUACUUUCUGGAAGCCCCAACUGACCCAUUGUGCAAAAACACCUUUUGAGAGGUUACCCACUUAUUUCUAACGUAAGAGCUUUCCUACUUGCUUUUGUCUUUUUUUUUUUCUGGGUUGAAUUGUCUAUAUCUGAGCUUCUGAUUUCUCCUAUCUAGGCUCACCUUAAUCCCAGCAAUAAAGGAGGUGAUGUGGGAACCCUUAGAAGUAACUGAUGGAAAGCAAAUAAAGUAGGGAAGAUAAUGAGUAGCUGGCAAUUGGCUCAUAAAUAUCCCUGGCACAGCCUGAGACAGUCCUUGGCUGCCUUUUCUGGAGCUGAAUCUUCCAUUGUGAUGAGAAAGAAGUUGCCAGCAGACACAGCCACCUGCAUCCCACACAACAGCUUUAAAGGAGAAAACCCCGUGGAGAAAGAACUGAGACUGAGAGGAGUUCCAAACUAA